Molecule: long non-coding RNA, 300 nt
Filed under: Elaeis guineensis (African oil palm)
Lineage: Eukaryota; Viridiplantae; Streptophyta; Magnoliopsida; Arecales; Arecaceae
Description: long non-coding RNA (EGUI_LNC066399)
Source: RNAcentral
UCUGGAUAUUAAAAACCAUUGCUAGAUGGUAUCUCAAUUAGUGUAGGAAUUGGUUCCUGUGCUACCGGCUUAGUGUUUGAACCUAUGGAGUCACGUACACAAGUCAGACAAAGUAGGAAGGAUAUGACCUAUGUUUAUAUGUCCAAUCUAGAAGUACUUGACUUGAUUGAACAUAUAAGCUAACUUGAUUGAGAAUUGAGUUAUGGGUCAAAUGAGAUUGAAGAGUUGACUAUGUCUAGCUAGCACUAUACAUAAGAUUUAGGUUCAAUCCCGAGGAUGAAUAAUUUCUAUCUAUGAUCC